Molecule: long non-coding RNA, 491 nt
Filed under: Androctonus crassicauda
Lineage: Eukaryota; Metazoa; Arthropoda; Arachnida; Scorpiones; Buthidae
Source: RNAcentral
UGCUUUAUUGACUUACUGUUGAAAGGAUAGAUCUCUUUCCAUGUGCAGUGUUGUCACUUCGUUAGAGUGGUAGAGUUGGGAUUAGGGCUUCAAUUCCACUUCUUAAAUAUCAUUAUAUGUUUGAUAUGCCCAGACUGCAUACAAUUUAAAGCAAGAGUACAACUACUAUUGUAAUGGUAAUGUGAAGAUACUAUUGAAAAGGAUCCCCGGCCCCCCCUGGGAAUUUGGUGUCUUUCAAAUUAUAUCUUGACCUUGACAUUUGAAUAUCCAGCCAUUAUAUUUCUUAAUGGUGUGAAGUCCCAUUUUCAAUAACUUAUUGGUGCUGAAAUUGUUCACUAGCUGUGGUCUGACCUAGUUAAUUUACAAGUACAGAUUGCAUAGGACCCACUAGAGAAGCAUUUAUAGUUUGAUGGUAAGUAGAUUAGGCAGAAUGUCAUCUAAAAUAUCCUUAGAAAAUAAUGUUGAUGUAUUUUCCAUACCUCAUCAGUUUC